This 429-nucleotide ribosomal RNA is filed under the name bacterium. RNAcentral's name for it is "partial 16S ribosomal RNA". It matches the Rfam family "Bacterial small subunit ribosomal RNA", at positions 355 to 776 of the family's 1533-position model. The record is from RNAcentral.
UAGGGAAUCUUCCACAAUGGACGCAAGUCUGAUGGAGCAACGCCGCGUGAGUGAAGAAGGUUUUCGGAUCGUAAAGCUCUGUUGUUGGUGAAGAAGGAUAGAGGCAGUAACUGGUCUUUAUUUGACGGUAAUCAACCAGAAAGUCACGGCUAACUACGUGCCAGCAGCCGCGGUAAUACGUAGGUGGCAAGCGUUGUCCGGAUUUAUUGGGCGUAAAGCGAGCGCAGGCGGAAUGAUAAGUCUGAUGUGAAAGCCCACGGCUCAACCGUGGAACUGCAUCGGAAACUGUCAUUCUUGAGUGCAGAAGAGGAGAGUGGAAUUCCAUGUGUAGCGGUGGAAUGCGUAGAUAUUUGGAAGAACACCAGUGGCGAAGGCGGCUCUCUGGUCUGCAACUGACGCUGAGGCUCGAAAGCAUGGGUAGCGAACAGG